RNAcentral lists this unclassified non-coding RNA (206 nucleotides) under Hevea brasiliensis (rubber tree). The record is from RNAcentral. Lineage: Eukaryota; Viridiplantae; Streptophyta; Magnoliopsida; Malpighiales; Euphorbiaceae.
GGAAGGUUUAUGCAUAUGCUGGGGAGGGCGGGGCUCAUAUGAAUGUAAAACAAGAAGCAACCAUCUCGAAUGCCAAAUAUUAGCUUGUAGCAGCAUUAAUAGCACAAGCACAAAGCAGGAAACACAAUUUUCUAAUAAAUAAAGACAAAUAUAUUCCAGCACACCACCAAAAAAGUUCUACAACCUUUCCAAAAAAGUACUGAUUU